UACGAAGGGGGCUAGCGUUGUUCGGAAUUACUGGGCGUAAAGCGCACGUAGGCGGAUAUUUAAGUCAGGGGGUGAAAUCCCAGAGCUCAACUCUGGAACUGCCUUUGAUACUGGGUAUCUCGAGUAUGGAAGAGGUGAGUGGAAUUCCGAGUGUAGAGGUGAAAUUCGUAGAUAUUCGGAGGAACACCAGUGGCGAAGGCGGCUCACUUGGACCAGCACUGACACUGAGGCACGAAAGCGUGGGGAGCAAACAGG
Molecule: ribosomal RNA, 255 nt
Filed under: uncultured bacterium
Lineage: Bacteria
Description: partial 16S ribosomal RNA
Rfam family: Bacterial small subunit ribosomal RNA
Source: RNAcentral